UUCUGGAAAUCUGACCCUCUGCCAUGCUCGUGGAUGUGCAGAUGUACCCAUGGAGCACAGCGACACCGCUGCUUCAUAAAGAAUAGACCUAAGGAAAAGAAAAAGAAAAAAAAAAAAAAGGGAAAAAAAAAAAAAAAAAAAAAAAGAAAAAAAAAAAAAAGAUCUAAAAAAAAAAAGAAAUUUUUGGAAAAAAAAAAAAAGAAAAAAAAAGAGAAAAGAAAAGAAAAAAAAAAGAAAAAAGAAGAAGGAAAAAGAGAAAAAAGAAAAAAAAAAAGAAAAAAAAAAAAGAAAAGGACCGAAGGAAAAGUAAAAAAAGAAAAAGAAAAAAAAAGGAAAAAAAAAAAGAAAGGAAAAAAGAAAAAGAAAAAAAAAAAAAAAAAAAGAAAGGAAAAAAAGAAAAAAAAAAUAAAAAGAAAAAAAAAAGAAAAGAAAAGAAAACAAAAAAAAAAAAAAAGAAAAAAAAGUAGAAAAGAAAAAAAACCACAGAAAAAAAAAAAGGGGGGGAAAAAAAAAAAUAGGAAAAAAAAAAGAAGGGAGAAAAGGAAAAAAAACUCAAGAAAAAAGAAAAAAAGGAAAAAAAAAAAAAAAACAAAAAAAGGAAAAAAAAAAAAGAAGAAAAAAAAGAAAAAAACCCCGAAGGGAAAAAGAAAAAAAGAAAAGAAAGAAACAAGAAGGAACAAAAAGGGAGGAAAGAAGGAAAGAAGGAAAAAGGAAAAAGAAGGGGGGGGAAAAAAAAAGGAAGGGAAAAGAAAAGAGAGAAAAGAAAAAAAAAAAAAAAAAAGAAAAAAGAAGGAAAGAGAAAGGAAAAAGAGAAAGGAAAAGGAAAAAGGAAAGGGAAAAAGAAAAGAAAAAAAAAAAAAGAAAAGAAAAAAAGAAAAGAAAAAAGAAAAGAAAAGAAAAGAUCUGCCAUAAAUCUCCCCCUCCCGGCACAGACAGCCCAAAACUUUGAAAGUCAACUUUCUGACCAGGUUUGCCAAAAGGGCAGCUGUUUGGAACACCCACGUUCAACCCACCUGGAUUCAACAUGCCUCCCAAGACAGCAGAACUCUUCCCUCCUUCAGUGAAUCAUAUGAUAAGCAAAUGUAUGAUAGGAAGCAAGUUUGCUUCCUAAAUUCUUAUCUGGGCCACCAUGAAGAGGCUCGGGUGUCUGUUUUCACUGUCCCUCCCCGACCGAUGAUAUGGGCUAGAAAGCAAGCACAUUCUCAACAUUGGGGACUCCCGUGAAUGUGGACCUCUGGGACCGACUGCUGAAAGAGUUGCAGGGCAUACUUGAGAGGGUGUGAGGUCACCCUCAGACACCCC
RNAcentral lists this long non-coding RNA (1302 nucleotides) under Canis lupus familiaris (dog). RNAcentral describes it as "lncRNA (ENSCAFG00845018308.1)". The record is from RNAcentral. Lineage: Eukaryota; Metazoa; Chordata; Mammalia; Carnivora; Canidae.